This 250-nucleotide unclassified non-coding RNA is filed under the name plant metagenome. RNAcentral's name for it is "partial contains small subunit ribosomal RNA, internal transcribed spacer 1, and 5.8S ribosomal RNA". The record is from RNAcentral.
CACGCGGAGACCCUGCAGCCCCCCCGGGGGAGACAGAGCGCGACCCUAAACAACGCUCCCUGCAAGUUGGCCCUGGAGCCAGCGACACGAUCGAAUUGCGAGGACCUCCUAAAGCUCAGGCCACCAUCCCAGCGUCGAAAGGCGCUGGCGCCCGGUAAAAGUGCCCGAGAUGCCACAAUGGACUACUCGCAGCGAAACCCCUACCGCGCAAGCCACGGGGAACGUCCACUGACUAAGUGGUUGUGGGCGG